This 253-nucleotide ribosomal RNA is filed under the name uncultured bacterium. RNAcentral's name for it is "partial 16S ribosomal RNA". It matches the Rfam family "Bacterial small subunit ribosomal RNA", at positions 524 to 776 of the family's 1533-position model. The record is from RNAcentral.
CACGUAGGGUGCAAGCGUUGUCCGGAAUUAUUGGGCGUAAAGGGCUCGUAGGCGGUCCGUCACGUCGGGAGUGAAAACUCGGGGCUCAACCCCGAGCCUGCUUCCGAUACGGGCGGACUAGAGGUAGGUAGGGGAGAACGGAAUUCCUGGUGUAGCGGUGGAAUGCGCAGAUAUCAGGAGGAACACCGGUGGCGAAGGCGGUUCUCUGGGCAUUACCUGACGCUGAGGAGCGAAAGUGUGGGGAGCGAACAGG